This 253-nucleotide ribosomal RNA is filed under the name uncultured bacterium. RNAcentral describes it as "partial 16S ribosomal RNA". It matches the Rfam family "Bacterial small subunit ribosomal RNA", at positions 524 to 776 of the family's 1533-position model. The record is from RNAcentral.
UACAGAGGUCCCAAGCGUUGUUCGGAUUCACUGGGCGUAAAGGGUGCGUAGGUGGCGGGGUAAGUUUGAUGUGAAAUCUCCGAGCUUAACUCGGAAAUGGCAUUGAAUACUAUUCAGCUCGAGGUUUGGAGGGGGGACUGGAAUUCUCGGUGUAGCAGUGAAAUGCGUAGAUAUCGAGAGGAACACCGGUGGCGAAGGCGAGUCCCUGGACAACACCUGACACUGAGGCACGAAAGCUAGGGGAGCAAACAGG